AACGAACGCUAGCGGCAGGCUUAACACAUGCAAGUCGAGCGCCCCGCAAGGGGAGCGGCAGACGGGUGAGUAACGCGUGGGAACGUGCCCUUUGGUUCGGAACAACUCCGGGAAACUGGAGCUAAUACCGGAUAAGCCCUUCGGGGGAAAGAUUUAUCGCCAAAGGAUCGGCCCGCGUCUGAUUAGCUAGUUGGUGAGGUAAUGGCUCACCAAGGCGACGAUCAGUAGCUGGUCUGAGAGGAUGAUGAGCCACACUGGGACUGAGACACGGCCCAGACUCCUACGGGAGGCAGCAGUGGGGAAUAUUGGACAAUGGGCGCAAGCCUGAUCCAGCCAUGCCGCGUGAGUGAUGAAGGCCUUAGGGUUGUAAAGCUCUUUUGUCCGGGAAGAUAAUGACUGUGCCGGAAGAAUAAGCCCCGGCUAACUUCGUGCCAGCCGCCGCCGUAA
This 447-nucleotide ribosomal RNA is filed under the name uncultured bacterium. Its description in RNAcentral is "partial 16S ribosomal RNA". It matches the Rfam family "Bacterial small subunit ribosomal RNA", at positions 29 to 523 of the family's 1533-position model. The record is from RNAcentral.